UGAGGAAUAUUGGUCAAUGGACGCAAGUCUGAACCAGCCAUGCCGCGUGCAGGAUGACGGCUCUAUGAGUUGUAAACUGCUUUUGUACGAGGGUAAACCCCGAUACGUGUAUCGGGUUGAAAGUAUCGUACGAAUAAGGAUCGGCUAACUCCGUGCCAGCAGCCGCGGUAAUACGGAGGAUCCGAGCGUUAUCCGGAUUUAUUGGGUUUAAAGGGUGCGUAGGCGGUUUGAUAAGUUAGAGGUGAAAUGUCGGGGCUCAACCCCGAAACUGCCUCUAAUACUGUUGGACUAGAGAAUAGUUGCGGUAGGCGGAAUGUAUGGUGUAGCGGUGAAAUGCUUAGAGAUCAUACAGAACACCGAUUGCGAAGGCAGCUUACCAAACUAUAUCUGACGUUGAGGCACGAAAGCGUGGGUAGCAAACAGG
This 424-nucleotide ribosomal RNA is filed under the name uncultured bacterium. RNAcentral describes it as "bacterial SSU rRNA". It matches the Rfam family "Bacterial small subunit ribosomal RNA", at positions 355 to 776 of the family's 1533-position model. The record is from RNAcentral.